Molecule: ribosomal RNA, 119 nt
Filed under: Cicer arietinum (chickpea)
Lineage: Eukaryota; Viridiplantae; Streptophyta; Magnoliopsida; Fabales; Fabaceae
Source: RNAcentral
AGGUACGAUCAUACCAGCACUAAUGCACCGGAUCUCAUCAGAACUUCACAAUUAAGUGUGCGUGGGUGAUAGUAGUACUAGGAUGGGCGACCUCAUUAGAAGUCCUCGUGUUGCACAUU